CAAAUCAAUCUUCCUGAGAGCCAGCAGGUUACUGACCAGCUCCUCGUUGGUGAGACACUAAACGGCGAGGGAAAUGCAACUCUUCUCUGUGGACGUAAUGUGUGUGAUCACACCUCUUGAAGAAACCAUUUGCUAAUUAAUUUGUGCCUAGAAAUCACCUGCAUCAGAAUAAAGAGAUAUAAAGACUGCCAGUGCUUAAAUGAGACCUCAGCUCUGAUCUCAGAUUUGGUGUUUGUGCCUGACAGGGACUGAGGAAAGAUCUGGAAACUAAAUCCCAGGGGAUAAGUGAAGAGUGAAGAAAAAGUAAACAGCUUCAAGCAAAUCUAUUAAAACCCCCAGGACAAAGGGAGGAAGACAAAGGCUUCUGUGAUUGUAACCCCAGCAACCAAGGGCAGAAGGAUUCAUUCUUGGCUUCCUACUUCUGGGCGGGAUCCAUCUUCAGCAUCUCCAGGAUACUCCAUAGCCACAAGUGAGGGGCUUCUCCUGCUUCUUUAUAUUCAUCUAACUGCCUCUGAAGUAAGGUCAAGACCUGGAAUGUGUCUUCUGGAAGGAACACCUAAAGAAUCUGACUAAGGGACUGUAACAGAGACAACAGGGAUGCCUGCACAGAGGAAACACCAUGUGACGAUGUGACAGACAGGCACCCAUCAGCAAGCCCAGUGGAGAGGCCUCAGGAGGAGCCAAACCUGCCGACUGACACCUUGAUCUUGGAUUGCCAGCCUCCAGAAUUAUGAGCAAAUAAAUUUCUGUUAUUUAAGCUUCUCAGUCUGUGGUACUUUAUUGUGGCAGCUCUAGCAAAGGAUUAUAAUCUUCUAUAAAUGUGUGUGGAAAGCCAGGUCAGGGAGUAAGAUGGGUUCAUCGAUGCCUCCUCAUCAUCUGACUAGAAUCUGGCCCGGAGAAGGUGCACGGGAAGGGUUUGUGGAGUUGACAUGAGUAAACACACACUGUUUUGAUCGUGUCAGAGGCAGAGCAGCUGGCUGCCAGCCUGGCACUUUCUGGCUUCC
This 1004-nucleotide long non-coding RNA is filed under the name Mustela putorius furo (domestic ferret). Its description in RNAcentral is "lncRNA (ENSMPUG00000025760.1)". Lineage: Eukaryota; Metazoa; Chordata; Mammalia; Carnivora; Mustelidae. The record is from RNAcentral.